GAUGAACGCUGGCGGCGUGCCUAAUACAUGCAAGUCGAGCGAACGGACGAGAAGCUUGCUUCUCUGAUGUUAGCGGCGGACGGGUGAGUAACACGUGGAUAACCUACCUAUAAGACUGGGAUAACUUCGGGAAACCGGAGCUAAUACCGGAUGAUAUUUUGAACCGCAUGGUUCAAAAGUGAAAGACGGUCUUGCUGUCACUUAUAGAUGGAUCCGCGCUGCAUUAGCUAGUUGGUAAGGUAACGGCUUACCAAGGCAACGAUGCAUAGCCGACCUGAGAGGGUGAUCGGCCACACUGGAACUGAGACACGGUCCAGACUCCGACGGGAGGCAGCAGUAGGGAAGCUUCCGCAAUGGGCGAAAGCCUGACGGAGCAACGCAGCGUGAGUGAUGAAGGUCUGCGGAUCGUAAAACUCUGUUAUUAGGGAAGAACAUAUGUGUAAGUAACUGUGCACAUCUUGACGGUACCUAAUCAGAAAGCCACGGCUAACUACGU
This 496-nucleotide ribosomal RNA is filed under the name uncultured bacterium. RNAcentral's name for it is "partial 16S ribosomal RNA". It matches the Rfam family "Bacterial small subunit ribosomal RNA", at positions 28 to 506 of the family's 1533-position model. The record is from RNAcentral.